AGUUGAAGAGGGGGAGGCCUCGGACUUCUCGCUGGCCUGGGAUUCCUCCGUGACAGCAGCAGGCCUCCCCUGACAGAGCUGGCGCUUAUGAAAGUAAUGCACCUCCAGGUGUCUGGGCACAAGAGACUCGGCUUGCUGGAUCUCAGCCCCUUUGAUGAGCGGGUUUUAAAUAUGAAUUUGUUCAUUCAUUCAUUCCCUCAUUAAACCUUAUUUGAACACUG
Molecule: long non-coding RNA, 221 nt
Organism: Galeopterus variegatus (Sunda flying lemur)
Lineage: Eukaryota; Metazoa; Chordata; Mammalia; Dermoptera; Cynocephalidae
Exons: 2
Source: RefSeq, a predicted model, not a curated record